GGAGGAUUAGUCUAAUUGGUAAGGCAGCGGUCUUGAAAACCGCCGUGGGUGACCACUUGGGGGUUCGAGUCCCUCAUCCUCCGCAA
This 86-nucleotide transfer RNA is filed under the name Ignavibacteriae bacterium HGW-Ignavibacteriae-1. Its description in RNAcentral is "tRNA-Ser". It matches the Rfam family "tRNA". From Rfam's summary of the family: Transfer RNA (tRNA) molecules are approximately 80 nucleotides in length. Their secondary structure includes four short double-helical elements and three loops (D, anti-codon, and T loops). Lineage: Bacteria; Pseudomonadati; Ignavibacteriota. The record is from RNAcentral.